This is a non-coding RNA of Cyanistes caeruleus (blue tit), 1057 nucleotides long. The record is from RefSeq and is a predicted model, not a curated record. NCBI's taxonomy places the organism in Eukaryota, Metazoa, Chordata, Aves, Passeriformes, Paridae.
GGCAGCGCCCGGCACGGGCAGUGCGGGCCGGAUCCGGCCGGCGCUCCCCAGCGGCACGGCCGCCCUCAGCCCGGUGAGCUGCUCCCUGCCCCGGCUCUUCGGGGCGAAACACGGCCUGGAGCAAAAUGACAUGGGGAAAAGCCGGGCUGCAGCCGCUGCUCUCCCCUCACGGAGCCUCACCCUCCUGCCGCGGGAUGGGCAGGGGCCCAGCCCAGCCCUCAAAGCUGCUACGCGGGCAGUGAGGCGGAGGAAGCUUCUCAUCUGCCCGGCCUGCCUCAAGCAUGGUGUGAUUCCCCCAGGUGUGGGAGCAGCAGCAGCUGUGGGAAGCUCGAGGCCGUCGCCCAGGGAGCUGCGUGCGCACAUGGUGGCAUGAGGGCUGUGCAUCGGCGAGGAUGCGUCUUGUAAAUUCAGGUGUUUCUUUCUGAGAAAAAUGAAUAAACGGCACUGAAUGGAUACCGUAAGAACGCGAAACGUGAUGUGUGUUCAGUCUUUUUGAUUUGAAGGUCAGUCCCAGAGAAGCUCAGAGAUUCUUGUGAGGAGCGGAGCUGAACAGGCUGUGCAGUGCACGGAUUUCUUCCUACAUUCUUGAUUCUACAUAGAGGUCAUUGAUGUUGGGACCUUUUAACUGAAGUCAACAUAUAGGGCUGAAGUGUUAUAUCAGGCAUUGUAAUAACUGUAAUAUUGAAAGGGGAAAACCUUGGGGAAAGCAUGGCUGAGUAAUAGGUGAAAAAAGGAAGAUUGGAUAGCACAACUGACACAUCCAAAACAUACGUUGUUUUAAAAGUCCAAAAUUUAAAAAGCACUACAAUAGAUAGAAGAGGAAGGGAGCCUUGCUGGGAACAAGACUUCAUGUUUGAAAUCCAUGCUGAUGGAAAGGGCUUCAUUAUAGAGCUGUGGAAGAAAGGCUUGCUCUGGGAUAGCAUUUUAGGAGUUUUAUGGAUUCCCCUUGCCACUGUGGAGUAUGCAACAGAUGCCCAGGUUCCUGGUGGAGAUUACAUUCAGAAGUAAUAAAAAAUGGAAGUGAGAUUCAAGGCACAAAAACACCAACUUCUCAUGA